AGGCCAUGAGUGACACACCCCGACCCGGAAAGUCUCACUUGGACUCCGAAUCGAUUUGUACUGGCCGACACCUGAAGGGUGACAAAGCCAUAAAGUGUAGUGUAGUGGAAAAAGAAUGUGAAUAAAUUUAAACCUAAAAGUGCCUAAACAAAAGAGUGUGUGGGUGAACGGGAUUGAACCCUUUUCACACAUGAUGUUAGAGCAUAAGAUAGUAUAAUGAAUAGGAGAGGGUUAUACCACUAAUGAUAACCAUCUCCUAAGACUUGCCAGAAUCCUCAUUUAUAAGUAAGCACAUCUACUAAACGUGGAGGGGCGAAAAACAAAGUUAAGUGGGUCAGCAAAACAACGUUAUGUAAAACCUUUAUUUUCGAAUAUAACCCCUCGCCAUAAAACAAGUAUAGUUUCCUUAAAACAUACUACGUAAGUAUGUAAACAAUAAUACAACAACAUUAUAACCAGAAAUAUGCCAAGUCAUGAUAUAUAAAUGCCACAGUAAUAAAAUCAUGUGAUAAUCAAGUAUAGCUAAGUGCUCAUCCAUUUAAGUUGACACACGAGUUCAAACAGAUAAUUUCUGACAUGAACAGGAUUGGGUGUAAUCAAUAUGCUCUAGUAUUAUGAUCACGUGAAGGCUGGUGUAGAAGCACGGUCACAUACAAGUCGGAUUGCCUAAUGCAAUCUACCUAACAGGACUAGCACCUAACUUGGAUCCAAGACGAGCGAACGGUACAAUAUGAACAUACACGUGAAGGACUAGCCCUGGCCUUGGGGUGAAUACUAACACCGGUGCUGCAAGAUGAGCAUGUACAGAUAUGUAUGAAUGUCAUGACAGUAAUAUCCCAACCAUAUAGCAUUAUUUAUCACAAUUCAUAACACAAUAAUGGUACUAGGCAAUAUAAGUGUAAAAUGAAGUAAAUACAUGUUCAUGGAAACUAUAAUAUGUAUAGGUAUAAAAAAAACUGCCUACUCAUAAGUACGUCACUGGGUCGUAGCCCCCGAGCCUAGCCUGGCCUCGCAAUUCCUCGGGAUACGUUUCCCCUAUAUGUGAAAUAACUAAAAUAAAAUUAAUUAAAGCACCUAUAUGGAAACCCAAAUAAAACCCCUCAUAGUUUGCUCAAACCUAGGGUUUAAAUAUAUGAAAUCAAUCUACUCGACGUCACGGACACACACCCGUCGACCACACGCCAGCUGGAGGCUGGACACGCCGUCAUAACCCACCACAAGGGGCUGCACAACCUACCAUGCGCUGCAUGCGCUGAUGGCAUGUGGGUGGUCAUGCGCGUUCACGCGCCUGCGAGUACGCGUGUACUCGCCUUCUCCAAGAUUUUCUUUAGUUUUUAUAGAUUUUUGGGCCAACUUCUCGAGCCCCUAACGAGCUUGAUUCUCAACCAAAAACACUUCUACAAAAGCCAAAUUAAAGUUAGGAAUGUGAUGAAUCGAUCCAUUUUCACAAAAGGUUCAAGUGUGGUCCGUGUUGUCCAGAAAUGUGGUCUGAAAGUGGCCAAAUGGCCACGGCCAAACUUUUCCAGAAAGUUGGAAAAUUUCUUCCCAACUUCUAGAGUUGAGUUCUAACUCGAAAGUUAACCAAAUUCGAUGGUUCAAAAUCCAUUUUGAAGUUAAGAAUGUAGAGAAUAAGUCUAUACCUAUUAGAUGCUCAGUCGUGUUCUAUGUUGGUCGAGGAAAUGGUUUGAAAGUGGCCUGAUGG
This 1702-nucleotide long non-coding RNA is filed under the name Malus domestica (apple). RNAcentral's name for it is "long non-coding RNA (MDOM_LNC012832)". Lineage: Eukaryota; Viridiplantae; Streptophyta; Magnoliopsida; Rosales; Rosaceae. The record is from RNAcentral.